GAUGAACGCUGGCGGCGUGCUUAAUACAUGCAAGUCGAGCGAACAGAUGCGGAGCUUGCUCCUCUGACGUUAGCGGCGGACGGGUGAGUAACACGUGGACAACCCACCUAUAAGACUGAGAUAACUUCGGGAAACCGGAGCUAAUACCGGAUAACAUAUUGAACCGCAUGGUUCAAUAGUGAAAUACGGUUUUGCUGACACCUAUAGAUGUAUCCUCGCGGCAUUAGCUAGUUGGUAGGGUACCGGCUUACCGGGGCGACCAUGCGUAGCCGACCUGAGAGGGGGAACGCCCCCACUGGAAGUGAGAGACGGCACAGGGUCCGAGAGGAGGCAGCGAUAGGGAAGGGACCGCGAAGGGCGGAAGCCUGCAGGAGCAGCGCCGGCUUGGUGAUGAAGGGCUGCGGGUCGUAAAACUCUGUUAGUAUGGAAAAACAAAUGUGUAAGUAACGAUGCACUUCGUGACGGUACCUAGACAGAAAGCCACGGCUAACUACGUG
RNAcentral lists this ribosomal RNA (497 nucleotides) under uncultured bacterium. RNAcentral's name for it is "partial 16S ribosomal RNA". It matches the Rfam family "Bacterial small subunit ribosomal RNA", at positions 28 to 507 of the family's 1533-position model. The record is from RNAcentral.